This 23-nucleotide microRNA is filed under the name Mus musculus (house mouse). RNAcentral describes it as "mmu-miR-5113". The record is from miRBase by way of RNAcentral. Lineage: Eukaryota; Metazoa; Chordata; Mammalia; Rodentia; Muridae.
ACAGAGGAGGAGAGAGAUCCUGU